RNAcentral lists this long non-coding RNA (505 nucleotides) under Medicago truncatula (barrel medic). RNAcentral's name for it is "long non-coding RNA (MTRU_LNC006393)". Lineage: Eukaryota; Viridiplantae; Streptophyta; Magnoliopsida; Fabales; Fabaceae. The record is from RNAcentral.
UUCCAUAACUAUGUUCUCUUGUACGAACCCGGUAGAAGCAUCAACAACUGUCAUUAACAGCUGUCCUCGCCGUUCACCUAUGCCGCCGAACAGGUGAUCUGGAUCUUGACCUAUGCUGCCGAACAGGUGAUCUGGAUCUUGACCUAUGCUUCCGAACAGGUGAUCUUGACUUAUGCUUCCGAACAGGUGAUUUUGAUCUUGAUCUAUGCUUCCGAACAGGUGAUCUGGAUCUUGACUUAUGCUUCCGAACAGGUGAUCUGGAUCUUGACCUAUGCUUCCGAACAGGUGAUCUGGAUCUUGACCUAUGCUUCCGAACUGGUGAUUUGGAUCUUGACCUUCUUACCCUGCAUAAAAAGGAAACCCUGUAAAUAAACAAGGCACAGCUGUAGUAUAAAUGGGAACCCAUACAAAUUCACCUGAGUAGCUUAUAUUGUUAUAUGAUGAUGGUAGUUUGUCUCAAAAAUAUAAACCUUAAACAUGAUUAACUUAAUGGCAACAAACCUGG